This 253-nucleotide ribosomal RNA is filed under the name uncultured bacterium. Its description in RNAcentral is "partial 16S ribosomal RNA". It matches the Rfam family "Bacterial small subunit ribosomal RNA", at positions 524 to 776 of the family's 1533-position model. The record is from RNAcentral.
GACGUAGGUGGCAAGCGUUGUCCGGAGUUAUUGGGCGUAAAGCGCGCGCAGGCGGUCUCUUAAGUCUGAUGUGAAAGCCCACGGCUCAACCGUGGAGGGUCAUUGGAAACUGGGAGACUUGAGUGCAGAAGAGAAGAGUGGAAUUCCACGUGUAGCGGUGAAAUGCGUAGAGAUGUGGAGGAACACCAGUGGCGAAGGCGACUCUUUGGUCUGUAACUGACGCUAAGGCGCGAAAGCGUGGGGAGCAAACAGG